RNAcentral lists this long non-coding RNA (231 nucleotides) under Prunus persica (peach). Its description in RNAcentral is "long non-coding RNA (PPER_LNC007475)". Lineage: Eukaryota; Viridiplantae; Streptophyta; Magnoliopsida; Rosales; Rosaceae. The record is from RNAcentral.
AGAACUUGUAAGCAUGCGAGCCCUGUUUAUGUGAACAGGCACGUCAAACAUAAUAAUCACCAGUUAAACGUAGGUCUUUGCGAAAGUACGAUAGCAAUGCCGAGACUAAAAAUAAAGACACAACGUUCCACAUGAUCCAGUGAAAUUUUUGUUAUUAGUUCAAGCUGGGUAGGCAGUAGCAGAACUUGGUUGCAUUUCCUCCUUCACCAUGGCAGAUUGUUUGAAGCAACC